AAUAUUGAACGGGGGGAAAUCCGGAAACAAUAAUCAAAACAUUGUCCUUGUCAAUGGAAUACGUAAUAGUUAAUUAAUUUGAACAAAUUUAUAUAUAGAAAAAACGCACAGGAGACGUGUGAAUAAUAAUAAAGGAGUAAUUUUUAUUCAAUAUGAAAUCAGCGAGAAAGAAAAUAAUAAAUCAUAAUGCUGUUUUUAAACAGCGUACAAAAACAGAUGACAAUGAUGAACUCUCGUUUGAAUUAAUAAUUUCAACAAGAAAAUCUGGUCAAUUAGAUAUGUCAGGUCGUGGUCUAGCUACAGUACCUGAAAAAUUAUGGACUAUUAAUGAACUAACAAAAGAGGAAUUAGAUAAUCUUCGCACGGAAAUUGAUUUUGAACAGAGAAAAGAUUGUUGGUGGGAACAGGAACCAUUUAGAAUUUUAGAUUUAAGUUCCAAUAGUCUUUGUUCAAUUGAUUCGCGUAUAAAAAAUUUAUUGGAUCUCACACUUCUUGACCUUCAUGAUAAUUUAUUAGAAACUUUACCGUCUGAAAUAGAAAAUUUGAACAAUUUAAAGAGAUUAAAUCUUUCUUUUAAUAAAAUAAAAAUUCUUCCAUUAGAAUUUUACAAACUCAUUGAAUUACGAAAAUUAGAUUUAAAGAAUAAUAUUCUCGUGGAAUUAAAUUCUGCGAUUGGUGAUUUAAUUAUGCUCGAGAGUUUGAAUCUUUCGAGUAACAACCUAACUGAAUUACCUAUUGGAACUGGUUAUUUGGUGCGAUUAGUUUCUCUUGACUUGAGUCACAAUAUGCUCACUGAAUUGCCACCUGAUAUAACGAACAUGCGAGCGUUAAAAAAAUUGGAUGCAAGUUUCAAUCAUUUGGAAACAUUACCGCCUCUUGGUGAAUUGAGAAAAGUUGAGGCUCUAUUAUUUGGUUCGAAUAAUUUAAAAAUAUUUCCUGAUGUUAAUGGUUGUUCUUCAUUACGAGAACUUCAUCUCACAAAUAAUAAUAUACCGGAAAUUGAUAUUUUGAGUUUGGAAGGAAUGGGUCAAUUAAAAUCACUUUUACUCGGAGGCAAUAAAAUUGAAAUAAUUCCAGAAGAAAUGAUUCAGCUUAUAAAUUUGGAACAACUUGAUCUUUCACACAAUAAUAUAUCUUCAAUUCCAAAUUGUAUCGGCAUAAUGCCAAAUUUACAUAAUUUCAUUGUGGAAGGAAAUAAAUUGGAAAAUAUUAGACGUGACAUUGUCCAAUUAGGCACACCUCGAAUAUUACGUCAUUUACGACAAAGCACAAACGCAAGUAAUAUUGAAAUUCGAGAUUGUUCGUCGCCACUUUAUGAGGAUGAAAAUUUUCCCGACAAAUAUGCAAUGAAAAAUGCAAGACUACUGAGUCUCAUUGGUAAGAAUUUGUCAAAUAUUCCCGAUAUUGUUUUUAAUGAUGCAAAAGAAGCUGAAGUAACGUGUGUCGAUUUAAGUCGAAAUAGAUUACAUGAAUUAUCAGAUGCAUUAUCGCAAAUAAUAACUGUUACCGAUUUAAAAUUAUCAUGUAAUCAAUUAAUUGAAAUACCAAAUUGGAUUGGUGUACUUGAAUAUUUACAAUUUUUGGAUUUAAAUAGAAAUCGUUUGUGUAAUUUGCCGAUGAAUAUUGGACAACUUGAACGUUUACGAGAAUUAAAUAUAUCAUUUAACAAAUUCACAGAAAUACCCGAAUGCAUUUAUGAAAUUUCUCAUUUGGAAAUACUUGCAGCAAACGAUAAUCAAAUUAAAAAUAUUGAUGUAAUUGGAUUAAGUAAAUUACGAAGACUCGCAAUUCUUGAUUUUUCUAAUAAUAAUAUUGGACAUGUUCCACCGGAAUUGGGAAAUUUAAUACAUCUCAGCUAUAGUAUUAUUCAUUUCAUAAUAUGAAAAAAAAAAAAAAACAAAACGAAAAGCUGUAUAAAUUUGCAUGAAUCAGUGAAAUUUUUUUCGUGCAGAUAUUUUUAUAUUCGUAUAAUAGAUAUAUACAUUUUUGUAUAUGUACAUAAGUGAGUUACGUAUUUAAUGUGCAUAUAUAUUAAACACUGCAUAUUAUAAAAUUGCUCACUUUUCCACUUGCUUUACCAAGUAUAUUGCAUUUUGUGCGCAUGAUAUAUCCCAUAAAAUAUAUUCAGAAUUCAAUAUUUAUACUGGAACAUUUAUGAUGCCGUUUUUCAUCGACAUUUCCCAUUUUAUUUUCGUAUUAUCAUCAUAAUCAUCAUCUUAUAAUUCAAUAAUUACACAAAAAAAUAAGAACAUUAUCGCUUACUGGAAAUUGUUUUAAACAACCGAGACAAGCAACUUUACUUAAGGGAACAGAAGAUAUACUUUCUUAUCUUCGUGACAAAAUUCCACGAACGUAAUUAAUGUGAUUUUUUAAAUAAAUAAUUCAAUUUUUUUCGUCCCAUCAAAAAUAUAAAUUACUUUAUAAAAAAUAUUAUAAAUAAUAUUUAAAUAUAAAAGAAUAUAAAAUUUAAUAUCAAUAGAAAAUAAAAUAUAAAUAAGUAUUAUGUAAAUUACCAAAAGUAUUAAUUAUAUUAAUAUAGGUAAUAAUUUAUCACUUAUUGGUAAAUAAUAAAUAUAAAAUGAAAAAUACUAUUGUUCGUAUUGAUAUUUUACAAUUUUUCAUUUUAUAUCUAUCAAAUAUUUAUGCUAUUAAAAUUGAUAUAGUGUUAAAAUUAAAAAUGUUAGGGAAUUCUCUAUAACUUUAAAAAUUGUUUCUAAAAUACAAUUUACAAGAAGUGGAUCAUUUAAAACUUUUUUUUUUUUUUUUGAUGGGACAUAAAAAUUAAAUUACUUAAUUCUAAAUUUACUAUCGAUUUUCAAAACAAAUUCUUUUGAAUUUCUUUUCAAAAGAAAUUGUGAAACAGUAUUUUUAUAAAAAAAAACUCCCACCAUAUGCUCAAAUGAAAUUUAAAAAGAAAUAUUUUGUUUUGAUUAAAGAAAAAAUUGGAAAUUUUAAUUUUAUGAUUACAUAGUAUUAUAUUUUUAUUUUCAAUUAUAUUAUAUUUCAAUAUCAAAUAUUAAUUUAGAUUAUUAAAUUUUU
Molecule: RNA transcript, 3039 nt
Organism: Leptopilina boulardi
Lineage: Eukaryota; Metazoa; Arthropoda; Insecta; Hymenoptera; Figitidae
Gene name: leucine-rich repeat-containing protein 40-like
Exons: 11
Source: RefSeq, a predicted model, not a curated record